CCUACGGGAGGCAGCAGUGAGGAAUAUUGGUCAAUGGCCGGAAGGCUGAACCAGCCAUGCCGCGUGAAGGUCAGUGCCCUAUGGGCGUUAAACUUCUUUUGUGCGGGAGCAAUAAUGGUCACGUGUGGCCAGACGAGAGUACCGUACGAAUAAGCAUCGGCUAACUCCGUGCCAGCAGCCGCGGUAAUACGGGGGAUGCAAGCGUUUUCCGGAUUUAUUGGGUUUAAAGGGUGCGUAGGCUGUGAGGUAAGUCAGCGGUGAAAUGCCCCCGCUCAACGGGGUGAAGUGCCAUUGAGACUGCCUUGCUGGAAUGCGGAUGCCGUGGGAGGAAUGUGUGGUGUAGCGGUGAAAUGCAGAGAUAUCACACAGAACACCGAUUGCGAAGGCAGCUCACGAAUCCGCGAUUGACGCUGAUGCACGAAAGCGUGGGUAUCAAACAGGAUUAGAUACCCGAGUAGUC
Molecule: ribosomal RNA, 460 nt
Filed under: uncultured bacterium
Lineage: Bacteria
Description: partial 16S ribosomal RNA
Rfam family: Bacterial small subunit ribosomal RNA
Source: RNAcentral